UGGGGAAUUUUGGACAAUGGGCGCAAGCCUGAUCCAGCCAUGCCGCGUGCGGGAAGAAGGCCUUCGGGUUGUAACCGCUUUUGUCAGGGAAGAAAUCUUCUGAGUUAAUACCUCGGGAGGAUGACGGUACCUGAAGAAUAAGCACCGGCUAACUACGUGCCAGCAGCCGCGGUAAUACGUAGGGUGCAAGCGUUAAUCGGAAUUACUGGGCGUAAAGCGUGCGCAGGCGGUUUUGUAAGACAGAGGUGAAAUCCCCGGGCUCAACCUGGGAACUGCCUUUGUGACUGCAAGGCUUGAGUGCGGCAGAGGGGAUGGAAUUCCGCGUGUAGCAGUGAAAUGCGUAGAUAUGCGGAGGAACACCGAUGGCGAAGGCAAUCCCCUGGGCCUGCACUGACGCUCAUGCACGAAAGCGUGGGGAGCAAACAGGAUUAGAUAGCCCUGGUAGUCCACGCCCUAAACGAUGUCAACUGGUUGUUGGGAAGGUUCCUUCUCAGUAACGUAGCUAACGCGUGAAGUUGACCGCCU
RNAcentral lists this ribosomal RNA (525 nucleotides) under uncultured bacterium. RNAcentral describes it as "partial 16S ribosomal RNA". It matches the Rfam family "Bacterial small subunit ribosomal RNA", at positions 355 to 874 of the family's 1533-position model. The record is from RNAcentral.